This 803-nucleotide long non-coding RNA is filed under the name Rattus norvegicus (Norway rat). RNAcentral describes it as "long non-coding RNA NONRATT015798". Lineage: Eukaryota; Metazoa; Chordata; Mammalia; Rodentia; Muridae. The record is from RNAcentral.
GCCAUGUCCAGGGGUGUGGUGCCUGGCACUACUCCCUCAUCUUCUCCAGCCUUCUCCCAAGAGUCGUCCAGGUCAUAGAGAGGCUCAAAGUUCUCCACCAGGGGGUCUGCUCCUAUGGAGUCAGGCAACACAGUGUUAGGAUUGCACACAGGACUCACAUUUCUUUUUUUUUCUUUUUUAAAGGGGUUAUUUAUUCAUUUUAUUUAUAUGAGUACACCAUAGCUGUCUCCAGGCACACCAGAAGAGGGCAGCAGAUCACAUUAGAGAUGGUUGUGAGCCACCAUGUGGUUGCUGGGACUUGAACUCAGGACCUCUGGAAGAUCAGUCAGUGCUCCUAACCACUGAGCCAUCUCUCCAGCCCCAGGACUCACAUUUCUAAGGACAAUUUAGCUCUUGCUCAUUCAGGCGAUUACGGGCUAGCUUUCCAUUUCUGGGGAAAUUUAAAACAAUUUUUCACCAUUUUAGUUUACUUCUACUGGAAAGGUAUCCUGGGUAACCUCUAUAGCCAAGGAUACUAUCACAAACAAAAGAGAAGCAGAGGGGGAGAGGUGGAGGAGGAGUUAUGUGAAGGGGGACUGGGAGGAGGGAGGCCGUGAUUGGGAUGUAAAGUGCGUGACUGAGACUCCCCCGAUUUGGAUUUUUUUAACUAAAUGAUGCAUUUUAACCUGAGGACUUGUAGGUGGCAAUUUACAGGGCCACGAUGUACCUGGGGCAAAGCCCUGCACUUUCACACUUACAUCUACCAAUGCACACUUCUCACACUCUCUCUUGCCUGGGUGGGACAGAUCUGCUUGGACAGUUCU